CCUACGGGCGGCAGCAGUAGGGAAUAUUGCACAAUGGGCGCAAGCCUGAUGCAGCCAUGCCGCGUGUGUGAAGAAGGCCUUCGGGUUGUAAAGCACUUUCAGCGGGGAGGAAGGCGUUAAGGUUAAUAACCUUGGCGAUUGACGUUACCCGCAGAAGAAGCACCGGCUAACUCCGUGCCAGCAGCCGCGGUAAUACGGAGGGUGCAAGCGUUAAUCGGAAUUACUGGGCGUAAAGCGCACGCAGGCGGUCUGUCAAGUCGGAUGUGAAAUCCCCGGGCUCAACCUGGGAACUGCAUUCGAAACUGGCAGGCUAGAGUCUUGUAGAGGGGGGUAGAAUUCCAGGUGUAGCGGUGAAAUGCGUAGAGAUCUGGAGGAACACCGAUGGCGAAGGCAGCCCCCUGGGCCUGUACUGACGCUCAUGCACGAAAGCGUGGGGAGCAAACAGGAUUAGAUACCCCUGUAGUC
This 465-nucleotide ribosomal RNA is filed under the name uncultured Klebsiella sp. RNAcentral describes it as "bacterial SSU rRNA". It matches the Rfam family "Bacterial small subunit ribosomal RNA", at positions 338 to 795 of the family's 1533-position model. The record is from RNAcentral. Lineage: Bacteria; Pseudomonadati; Pseudomonadota; Gammaproteobacteria; Enterobacterales; Enterobacteriaceae.